GCCGGGUGUGGUGGCAGGCACCUGUAGUCCCAGCUACUCGGGAGGCUGAGACAGGAGAAUUGCUUGAGCCCAGGAGGCGGAGGUUGCAGUGAGCCGAGAUUGUGCCACUGCACUCCAGCCUGGGCGACAGAGCGAGACCCUGUCUCAA
Molecule: unclassified non-coding RNA, 148 nt
Organism: Pongo abelii (Sumatran orangutan)
Lineage: Eukaryota; Metazoa; Chordata; Mammalia; Primates; Hominidae
Rfam family: Metazoan signal recognition particle RNA
About the family: The signal recognition particle (SRP) is a universally conserved ribonucleoprotein. It is involved in the co-translational targeting of proteins to membranes. The eukaryotic SRP consists of a 300-nucleotide 7S RNA and six proteins: SRPs 72, 68, 54, 19, 14, and 9.
Source: Ensembl